RNAcentral lists this unclassified non-coding RNA (331 nucleotides) under Hevea brasiliensis (rubber tree). Lineage: Eukaryota; Viridiplantae; Streptophyta; Magnoliopsida; Malpighiales; Euphorbiaceae. The record is from RNAcentral.
AUCCUUAUAGCCAAUCACAGAUUGAUAAUCCAGUUUUCCAGCCACUGACUCAAAACAUGCCAUUCUUCAAGACUCAAGGUUACAGUCUACUGUUUAGUGUUUACCACGAAUCAGGUUUUUGAACACCCUUUAUAUCAACUGUCAGUACAAACUGUUAAAUGCACCAACACAAACUACUAGUCCAGAAUCCAGAUGCUAUAUAUGAAUUUUCCAUCAAAGGAAGUUAAAUGACUUUUCUGAGUUAUAGUUGUAAGCUUGUAAUUUUACCAAAGUUCAAUCUGUAAUGACUCCCUGUUAACCAGGCUUAAGCAAAGUUUUGGUUGCCCAUGAA